CGCCAGCCCCAUGGCGCUGUCGGGCUCCCUGAAGCCACAGCCUGCUCUGACUCCCACAGCCAAAUCGAGUCAAAGACCAAUUAAUAUUCUGAUACCUGUGGCCGCUGAAGUGAGGCGGAGCGGCUGGUUUCUUUUCCAUUUCACUCCCACUGUGGUUUCGCUUUCUUCCCAGCCCUCCUUUGAGCAAGGCCAGCCCGGCGGCUUCACGGAUACCGGCUUGAAAGGCCAGCAGCCGAGGUGGCCAGUGUCCCAGGUCCUAGAGAGCUCUUGGCAGCCUCUGGCUAUUGGUGUCUUCUGAAGCACACUGGAGUUACCAUGCCUAGGGUUCUGCAGGACUUACGUUUGAUAGGUUGGGAAACUGAGGCAAAGGGACUCUGUACCCUGAGGGCAUAAAACCAACAAGGAACAGAGCUGGUGUGCUGGCCCGGGUGAGCCUGUUUUCCCAAGAGCUGUCCCUCCAACAAAGAGGCUGGGAGUCCAUGGGAGGCCGGCA
This 493-nucleotide long non-coding RNA is filed under the name Rattus norvegicus (Norway rat). RNAcentral describes it as "long non-coding RNA NONRATT034073". Lineage: Eukaryota; Metazoa; Chordata; Mammalia; Rodentia; Muridae. The record is from RNAcentral.